GCCAAUAUCUACCCCAUUACCAAACAAUGGUGGUGGUUACAGGAUUCUUCUAAAUCACACAAUGUGUCCCAGAAGAGGGUUGUAAUUUAGCCUCAGUUAUCUUGUACAUCCCAUACCAUCUGACACAGUAUGUUCACCAGGAACACCUGGAGAAAUCUUUACGGCCCUCACAAUGGGUGGGUUCUGUUGUGACCCAGUGAUAGAAGGUAAGUACCCCCCACCCCAC
RNAcentral lists this long non-coding RNA (226 nucleotides) under Fukomys damarensis (Damara mole-rat). RNAcentral describes it as "lncRNA (ENSFDAG00000025347.1)". The record is from RNAcentral. Lineage: Eukaryota; Metazoa; Chordata; Mammalia; Rodentia; Bathyergidae.